This 381-nucleotide unclassified non-coding RNA is filed under the name Hevea brasiliensis (rubber tree). Lineage: Eukaryota; Viridiplantae; Streptophyta; Magnoliopsida; Malpighiales; Euphorbiaceae. The record is from RNAcentral.
GAAAACAUUUGGCUUUUUUAUUAUUAAAAUUUAUGCCACAUUAGUAAAAAUAUAUAAAAUAAUAAUUUUGUGACGCCAGCAACAAUGUCUUAGUCAAUCACCACGUCCUCAACACCAUCUAAAAUAAGAAUAUUUUGGCCACAGUCAUGUGUUAUAUUGGCCUCUUAAAUCCUUAAUUUUAAAACCUGACCAAAAUAAAUACUAAACUUUGAAAUGGGCCACAAUUGAAAAAAAAUAAAAGAAUUUGCCAAAAUUGACAAUUCAUGUAAAGGUUAAGUCAUUUGUAAUUGCCAGCAGUUUUUAAAUGUAACCAAUAAUGUCUUUAACUUGGUAGUUCUAGUUUGAGCUAUUUGUAGGUUUCAUUGGGUACUUUCCUUUUUU